Molecule: ribosomal RNA, 354 nt
Filed under: Escherichia coli
Lineage: Bacteria; Pseudomonadati; Pseudomonadota; Gammaproteobacteria; Enterobacterales; Enterobacteriaceae
Description: partial 23S ribosomal RNA
Rfam family: Bacterial large subunit ribosomal RNA
Source: RNAcentral
GGGUUGUGAGGUUAAGCGACUAAGCGUACACGGUGGAUGCCCUGGCAGUCAGAGGCGAUGAAGGACGUGCUAAUCUGCGAUAAGCGUCGGUAAGGUGAUAUGAACCGUUAUAACCGGCGAUUUCCGAAUGGGGAAACCCAGUGUGAUUCGUCACACUAUCAUUAACUGAAUCCAUAGGUUAAUGAGGCGAACCGGGGGAACUGAAACAUCUAAGUACCCCGAGGAAAAGAAAUCAACCGAGAUUCCCCCAGUAGCGGCGAGCGAACGGGGAGGAGCCCAGAGCCUGAAUCAGUGUGUGUGUUAGUGGAAGCGUCUGGAAAGGCGCGCGAUACAGGGUGACAGCCCCGUACACAA